UACGGAGGGUGCAAGCGUUGUCCGGAUUUAUUGGGCUUAAAGGGUGCGUAGGCGGCCCGUUAAGUCAGUGGUGAAAUAUCUCAGCUUAACUGAGAAGGUGCCAAUGAUACUGAUGGGCUUGAGUACAGAUGAGGUAGGCGGAAUUGACGGUGUAGCGGUGAAAUGCUUAGAUAUCGUCAAGAACACCUAUAGCGAAGGCAGCUUACUAGGCUGUAACUGACGCUGAGGCACGAAAGUGUGGGGAUCAAACAGG
Molecule: ribosomal RNA, 253 nt
Filed under: uncultured bacterium
Lineage: Bacteria
Description: partial 16S ribosomal RNA
Rfam family: Bacterial small subunit ribosomal RNA
Source: RNAcentral